UCCUACGGGGCGCAGCAGUGAGGAAUAUUGGUCAAUGGUCGGGGGACUGAACCAGCCAAGCCGCGUGAGGGAUGAAGGUACAGAGUAUGGUAAACCUCUUUUGUCAGGGAACAAAGGCGGGGACGUGUCCCCGGAUGAGUGUACCUGAAGAAAAAGCAUCGGCUAACUCCGUGCCAGCAGCCGCGGUAAUACGGAGGAUGCGAGCGUUAUCCGGAUUUAUUGGGUGUAAAGGGUGUGCAGGCGGCUGAGUAAGACAGAUGUGAAAUCCCCGGGCUUAACCUGGGAACCGCAUAUGGGACUGCUUG
This 305-nucleotide ribosomal RNA is filed under the name uncultured bacterium. RNAcentral's name for it is "bacterial SSU rRNA". It matches the Rfam family "Bacterial small subunit ribosomal RNA", at positions 337 to 639 of the family's 1533-position model. The record is from RNAcentral.